This 1311-nucleotide ribosomal RNA is filed under the name Microbacterium arborescens. Its description in RNAcentral is "bacterial SSU rRNA". It matches the Rfam family "Bacterial small subunit ribosomal RNA", at positions 95 to 1416 of the family's 1533-position model. Lineage: Bacteria; Bacillati; Actinomycetota; Actinomycetes; Micrococcales; Microbacteriaceae. The record is from RNAcentral.
GUGGCGAACGGGUGAGUAACACGUGAGCAACCUGCCCCUGACUCUGGGAUAAGCGCUGGAAACGGCGUCUAAUACUGGAUAUGUCCCAUCACCGCAUGGUGUGUGGGUGGAAAGAUUUUUCGGUUGGGGAUGGGCUCGCGGCCUAUCAGCUUGUUGGUGAGGUAAUGGCUCACCAAGGCGUCGACGGGUAGCCGGCCUGAGAGGGUGACCGGCCACACUGGGGACUGAGACACGGCCCAGACUCCUACGGGAGGCAGCAGUGGGGAAUAUUGCACAAUGGGCGGAAGCCUGAUGCAGCAACGCCGCGUGAGGGAUGACGGCCUUCGGGUUGUAAACCUCUUUUAGCAGGGAAGAAGCGAGAGUGACGGUACCUGCAGAAAAAGCACCGGCUAACUACGUGCCAGCAGCCGCGGUAAUACGUAGGGUGCAAGCGUUAUCCGGAAUUAUUGGGCGUAAAGAGCUCGUAGGCGGUCUGUCGCGUCUGCUGUGAAAUUCCGAGGCUCAACCUCGGGCUUGCAGUGGGUACGGGCAGACUAGAGUGCGGUAGGGGAGAUUGGAAUUCCUGGUGUAGCGGUGGAAUGCGCAGAUAUCAGGAGGAACACCGAUGGCGAAGGCAGAUCUCUGGGCCGUAACUGACGCUGAGGAGCGAAAGGGUGGGGAGCAAACAGGCUUAGAUACCCUGGUAGUCCACCCCGUAAACGUUGGGAACUAGUUGUGGGGUCCUUUCCACGGAUUCCGUGACGCAGCUAACGCAUUAAGUUCCCCGCCUGGGGAGUACGGCCGCAAGGCUAAAACUCAAAGGAAUUGACGGGGACCCGCACAAGCGGCGGAGCAUGCGGAUUAAUUCGAUGCAACGCGAAGAACCUUACCAAGGCUUGACAUACACGAGAACGGGCCAGAAAUGGUCAACUCUUUGGACACUCGUGAACAGGUGGUGCAUGGUUGUCGUCAGCUCGUGUCGUGAGAUGUUGGGUUAAGUCCCGCAACGAGCGCAACCCUCGUUCUAUGUUGCCAGCACGUAAUGGUGGGAACUCAUGGGAUACUGCCGGGGUCAACUCGGAGGAAGGUGGGGAUGACGUCAAAUCAUCAUGCCCCUUAUGUCUUGGGCUUCACGCAUGCUACAAUGGCCGGUACAAUGGGCUGCAAUACCGUGAGGUGGAGCGAAUCCCAAAAAGCCGGUCCCAGUUCGGAUUGAGGUCUGCAACUCGACCUCAUGAAGUCGGAGUCGCUAGUAAUCGCAGAUCAGCAACGCUGCGGUGAAUACGUUCCCGGGUCUUGUACACACCGCCCGUCAAGUCAUGAAAGUCGGUA